GGUUACCAGCACGUUAUGUGGGCACUCUAAGGAGACUGCCGGUGACAAACCGGAGGAAGGUGGGGAUGACGUCAAGUCAUCAUGGCCCUUACGGCCUGGGCUACACACGUGCUACAAUGGUCGGUACAAAGGGUUGCCAAGCCGCGAGGUGGAGCUAAUCCCAUAAAACCGAUCGUAGUCCGGAUCGCAGUCUGCAACUCGACUGCGUGAAGUCGGAAUCGCUAGUAAUCGUGAAUCAGAAUGUCACGGUGAAUACGUCCCCGGGCCUU
This 269-nucleotide ribosomal RNA is filed under the name uncultured Pseudomonas sp. RNAcentral's name for it is "partial 16S ribosomal RNA". It matches the Rfam family "Bacterial small subunit ribosomal RNA", at positions 1113 to 1382 of the family's 1533-position model. The record is from RNAcentral. Lineage: Bacteria; Pseudomonadati; Pseudomonadota; Gammaproteobacteria; Pseudomonadales; Pseudomonadaceae.